RNAcentral lists this ribosomal RNA (253 nucleotides) under uncultured prokaryote. RNAcentral's name for it is "partial 16S ribosomal RNA". It matches the Rfam family "Bacterial small subunit ribosomal RNA", at positions 524 to 776 of the family's 1533-position model. The record is from RNAcentral.
GACGAACCGUGCGAACGUUGUUCGGAAUCACUGGGCUUAAAGGGCGCGUAGGCGGGCGGACCAGUCGGGGGUGAAAUCUCACGGCCCAACCGUGAAACGGCCCCCGAUACUAGCCGCCUCGAGGAAGGUAGGGGCGUGCGGAACUUCCGGUGGAGCGGUGAAAUGCGUAGAUAUCGGAAGGAACGCCGGUGGCGAAAGCGGCACGCUGGGCCUUCCCUGACGCUGAGGCGCGAAAGCCAGGGGAGCGAACGGG